GAAGACCUCUUUUGAAAAUCUCUUGAAGUCUUUGCAGAGUUCUCUAAACAUGACCAGGAGGCCAAUCAUGAGGAGGAGUGAGAUGUUUUGAGGGAAAAUAGUCAAUAUACGUAAACUAAGUUCAAUACCAAUUCUUUGACUUGAAUAACGUUUUAUCAUCCCAGCAUUUUUGUCAGGUUAUCGCCGACCAGACUUCAUCUGGAAGCUCACGAAUGGCUUUGCAGCAUUGGUAAAGUCAGGUUCUCGUGGACUAACAACACUGUUUCUUGAUGUGAUUGUCCUCUGAAACUUCUCCUGAUUAUGCCUCGAGUUUUGAGUUGCCUUCUUUCUCUCACAUGAUCUCAUUCUUUUCAGGAUCAAGAUAUUUUAACUUCUGUGUUUAGCGCCUUUAAUAGAUUGAGCUAAGAAGUCUAAGCAAUCUUCAGGGCUAAGAAACAAGCUGCACUUGCCAGAGUUGGAUGUUCACACCUUGGUGAUGGCUGAUAUUAAACAGAAUUCUUAAUGAACAAAUCGGCCUUGAAAAGGGAACAUGGUGAAGCAAGACAAAAGAAUUACAAACUUUGACUGAAACUUUCUCCUACCAGGAAUACAGGGACCGCUCACCAGGUUGUGAUGAGAAGGAUCAUCUGAAAUGCUCCAUUGCUCUCAGAAGUUGAGGUAACUUCAUUGGGCCCAAACUGAUAAACUAGGAAUGGCUCAGAAAAUAGCCCCUUAGAAGAACUGUAUGAAGCUUGGAUCCAUUUUUCUGAGAAAAAAGAAAAAUCCCUCCAAUGAUUUGGUGAGGAGUUGAAGACAAAUAUCUUUAUUAUUUAUAAGUAUUCUGGCCAAGACAAUGAGUGUUGGAGUGGGAGGAUGAGGGAAUUUUAUGAUGAACGACAGCACAGCAAGAUGGACAGUAAGGCUCUGUCAUUGCCAUACCAGAUGUACAGAAGUGGCAUUUCAACUAAGGACACUGAAUAUGAAACAGACCUUGGAAAAGAGAGGAUGGAGUUAACUCUGAGAACAGAAAUCACCUACCUCUCUCCUCCCUAAACACACAGCUUACUGUCUAUAAUAAUAUACCCUUACUGGUCCAUUGUCCUCAUUAACAUAACUACAAUUCCAGGAGACUCUUGCCCAGGCAAAUUGCUUUAUUGUUCAUUACAGAGAGUUUUUGAAACAAAGAACCAUCAAUGCUUCAACAGAAAGCAUCAACAGUUUAUACCCCAAGAUCUUAGAACUCCUCACUUCCAAAUCCUCACUAUGCUAAUCCUAAACUAUUAUGUCAUGAUUUUUACCUAAACAAGACCCUGCAUGGAAAGAUCCUCUUUAUACAAUCUUUCAUUUUUUUGUCCUGGCUUUAAAAUGCAAAGCCCAUAUCCUUGGAAUUCCCUCUGUCUUGGGCAAAGUGUGACAGUUGGCCACCCUACUCCAAAAUCUCAUAAUUUUCCCACCUUGCCCCUCUAGAGACUAUCAAUCUCUGUUGAGGUGGUUCUCUCUUUCCAGGGUGAGCAAUAAACUCCUUGCCAGAGCUUUCCAUUGGGGGAGGAGGGUUUGAACUACUGCCAGAGACAAACAGAUGUAAACUAGAUGCAGGAGUUUGGAAAUUGAGCAGGGUUUGCAGUCUGGAAAAUUGCUCCACAAGAGACUGUCGUUGAACGAGUAGUCCUGAGUGAGUGGUCUAAGAGAACGUCAGAGUGAAAGAAAAUGCAGCCCACCUGGGUCAGCUGAAAAGGUAGAGAAUAAAAGGGAAAUGAAAUGCAGCUGCUAGUAACAGUUGAUUAAAUGAGGCUGGCAACUUACAUGGAGGCUGGAAGAGGAGAAAUGUGGGAGAGGCAGCAAGGAGAGAGAAGGAAACAUGAAGGAGGAGAAGAUUUCUAGAAGGAAAUGUAAGAGCUACAAAGGAGAAAGAUGAAUGAGAGACCCCACAAGAAAACAGCAGGGAAAAGAAGCUGCUUUCUGAGUUGAUGGUUGUUUCUAGUUUGGGGCUAUUAUGAAGAAAGCUGCUAUGAAGAACAUCCAUGUACAAAUCAUUUUAUGGACACACAUACUCAUUGCUCUUGGGUAAAUAUCUAGGAAUAUGAUUUAUGGAUCAUAG
This 2077-nucleotide long non-coding RNA is filed under the name Homo sapiens (human). Its description in RNAcentral is "HSALNT0378205". The record is from RNAcentral. Lineage: Eukaryota; Metazoa; Chordata; Mammalia; Primates; Hominidae.